This 1751-nucleotide ribosomal RNA is filed under the name marine metagenome. RNAcentral describes it as "bacterial LSU rRNA". It matches the Rfam family "Bacterial large subunit ribosomal RNA", at positions 383 to 2203 of the family's 2925-position model. The record is from RNAcentral.
CAUGAGUAGAGAAGAGCUAGGGUACCCGAGUAGGCCGGGGCACGAGAAAUCCCGGUUGAAUCUGGGGGGACCAUCCCCCAAGGCUAAAUACGAACUCGUGACCGAUAGUGAAUAGUACCGUGAGGGAAAGGUGAAAAGAACGCCUGACGGCGAGUGAAAUAGAAUCUGAAACCGUGUGCAUACAAGCGGUAGGAGCCUGGUCUUAUCUACGGAUGAGACGUGGGUGACUGCGUGCCUUUUGCAUUAUGAUCCGGCGAGUUACUCCUCACGUGCGAGGUUAAGGCCUUAAGGGCUGUAGCCGAAGCGAAAGCGAGUCUGAAAUGGGCGUUUGAGUACGUGGGGGUAGACCCGAAACCGAAGCGAUCUAUCCAUGGCCAGGGUGAAGCCGGGGUAAUACCUGGUGGAGGCCCGAACCGUUGUGGGUUGAAAACUGCUCGGAUGAGCUGUGGAUAGGGGUGAAAGGCCAAUCAAACUCGGAGAUAGCUGGUUCUCCCCGAAAUAUAUUGAGGUAUAGCCUCACGCGAAUACCACCGGAGGUAGAGCACUGGAUGGGCUAGGGGUCCUACCAGAUUACCGAACCCAACCAAACUCCGAAUACCGGUGAGUUCUACGUGGGAGUCAGACUGCGGGCGAUAAGGUCCGUGGUCGAGAGGGAAACAACCCAGACCGCCAGCUAAGGUCCCAAAGUGCAUGCUAAGUGGGAAAGGAAGUGGAAGCGCUCAGACAACCAGGAUGUUGGCUUAGAAGCAGCCACCAUUUAAAAAGUGCGUAACAGCUUACUGGUCUAGUGAGUCUGCGCCGAAAAUGUACCGGGGCUCAAGCAUGCCACCGAAGCUGCGGAGCUGUGUCGCUUUCGAGCGUCACAGUUGGUAGGGGAGCGUUCCAGUAGCCUGCGAAGCUCGACGGAAACGACGGGUGGAGGUCCUGGAAGAGCUUAUGCGGACAUGAGUAGCGAUAAACAAAGUGAGAAUCUUUGUCUCCGUAAACACAAGGUUUCCUGGGCCAGGCUCGUCCUCCCAGGGUUAGUCGGGACCUAAGGCGAGGCCGAAAGGCGUAGUCGAUGGACAUCAGGUUAAUAUUCCUGGACUAAAGUACAAUAUGGGACGCAUGAUGAAGGAUGGCACACAUUAUGAUAUGUGAUUCUAGGCUUCGGCCGAAAUAAGCCAUUUGAAUUUGUGCCGAGAAAACCGUACGUGCCCGUACCAAAACCGACACAGGUAGGUGAGUCGAAUAGACUAAGGAGCGCGAGAGAAAUCUCUCCAAGGAACUCGGCAAAUUAGCCCCGUAACUUCGGGAGAAGGGGUGCCCACUUCGGUGGGCCACAGUAAAUUGGGACUGGCGACUGUUUACCAAAAACACAGCUCUCUGCUAAGUCGUGAAGACGACGUAUAGGGAGUGACACGUGACCAAUGCGGAAAGAUUAAGGUGACUUGUUAGCACUUGAUGCGAAGCUCGGAGCCCAAGUCCCCGUGAAUGUCGGCCGUAACUAUAACGGUCCUAAGGUAGCGAAAUUCCUUGUCGGGUAAGUUCCGACCUGCACGAAUCGUGUAACGACCGGACUGCUGUCUCAGAGAGGAUCUCGGCGAAGUUGUAAUGGCGGUGAAGAUGCCGCCUACCCGCGGUAGGACGGAAAGACCCUAUGCACCUUUACUGUAAGCUGGUAUUGGGUUCUGGACUUUGAUGUGUAGUAUAGGUGGGAGACUUUGAAACCGGUUCGUCAGGGCCGGUGGAGUCACAAUGUGAAAUACCAC